RNAcentral lists this ribosomal RNA (253 nucleotides) under uncultured bacterium. RNAcentral describes it as "partial 16S ribosomal RNA". It matches the Rfam family "Bacterial small subunit ribosomal RNA", at positions 524 to 776 of the family's 1533-position model. The record is from RNAcentral.
GACAGAGGGUGCGAACGUUGUUCGGAAUUACUGGGCGUAAAGCGCAUGUAGGCGGCAGCGCAAGUCGGGCGUGAAAUCCCACGGCUCAACCGUGGAAGUGCACUCGAAACUGCGCAGCUAGAGUCCUGGAGAGGAAGGUGGAAUGCUUGGUGUAGAGGUGAAAUUCGUAGAUAUCAAGCGGAACACCGGUGGCGAAGGCGGCCUGCUGGGCAGUGGCUGACGCUGAGGCGCGAAAGCGUGGGGAGCGAACAGG